RNAcentral lists this ribosomal RNA (250 nucleotides) under uncultured bacterium. RNAcentral describes it as "partial 16S ribosomal RNA". It matches the Rfam family "Bacterial small subunit ribosomal RNA", at positions 524 to 776 of the family's 1533-position model. The record is from RNAcentral.
UACGGAGGGUCCGAGCGUUAUCCGGAAUUAUUGGGUUUAAAGGGUCCGUAGGCGGGCAUUAAGUCAGUGGUGAAAGUCUGCGCUCAACUAUAGAAUUGCCUUUGAUACUGUUGUCUUGAGUUAUAGUGAAGUUGCCGGAAUAUGUAGUGUAGCGGUGAAAUGCAUAGAUAUUACAUAGAAUACCGAUUGCGAAGGCAGAUCACUAACAAUGUAUUGACGCUGAUGGACGAAAGCGUGGGUAGCGAACAGG